UGAACCUUCGGGGAACGAUAACGGCGUCGAGCGGCGGACGGGUGAGUAAUGCCUAGGAAAUUGCCCUGAUGUGGGGGAUAACCAUUGGAAACGAUGGCUAAUACCGCAUAAUGCCUACGGGCCAAAGAGGGGGACCUUCGGGCCUCUCGCGUCAGGAUAUGCCUAGGUGGGAUUAGCUAGUUGGUGAGGUAAUGGCUCACCAAGGCGACGAUCCCUAGCUGGUCUGAGAGGAUGAUCAGCCACACUGGAACUGAGACACGGUCCAGACUCCUACGGGAGGCAGCAGUGGGGAAUAUUGCACAAUGGGCGCAAGCCUGAUGCAGCCAUGCCGCGUGUGUGAAGAAGGCCUUCGGGUUGUAAAGCACUUUCAGUCGUGAGGAAGGUGGUGUAGUUAAUAGCUGCAUUAUUUGACGUUAGCGACAGAAGAAGCACCGGCUAACUCCGUGCCAGCAGCCGCGGUAAUACGGAGGGUGCGAGCGUUAAUCGGAAUUACUGGGCGUAAAGCGCAUGCAGGUGGUUUGUUAAGUCAGAUGUGAAAGCCCGGGGCUCAACCUCGGAAUAGCAUUUGAAACUGGCAGACUAGAGUACUGUAGAGGGGGGUAGAAUUUCAGGUGUAGCGGUGAAAUGCGUAGAGAUCUGAAGGAAUACCGGUGGCGAAGGCGGCCCCCUGGACAGAUACUGACACUCAGAUGCGAAAGCGUGGGGAGCAAACAGGAUUAGAUACCCUGGUAGUCCACGCCGUAAACGAUGUCUACUUGGAGGUUGUGGCCUUGAGCCGUGGCUUUCGGAGCUAACGCGUUAAGUAGACCGCCUGGGGAGUACGGUCGCAAGAUUAAAACUCAAAUGAAUUGACGGGGGCCCGCACAAGCGGUGGAGCAUGUGGUUUAAUUCGAUGCAACGCGAAGAACCUUACCUACUCUUGACAUCCAGAGAACUUUCCAGAGAUGGAUUGGUGCCUUCGGGAACUCUGAGACAGGUGCUGCAUGGCUGUCGUCAGCUCGUGUUGUGAAAUGUUGGGUUAAGUCCCGCAACGAGCGCAACCCUUAUCCUUGUUUGCCAGCGAGUAAUGUCGGGAACUCCAGGGAGACUGCCGGUGAUAAACCGGAGGAAGGUGGGGACGACGUCAAGUCAUCAUGGCCCUUACGAGUAGGGCUACACACGUGCUACAAUGGCGCAUACAGAGGGCAGCAAGCUAGCGAUAGUGAGCGAAUCCCAAAAAGUGCGUCGUAGUCCGGAUUGGAGUCUGCAACUCGACUCCAUGAAGUCGGAAUCGCUAGUAAUCGUGGAUCAGAAUGCCACGGUGAAUACGUUCCCGGGCCUUGUACACACCGCCCGUCACACCAUGGGAGUGGGCUGCAAA
RNAcentral lists this ribosomal RNA (1360 nucleotides) under Vibrio sp. Its description in RNAcentral is "bacterial SSU rRNA". It matches the Rfam family "Bacterial small subunit ribosomal RNA", at positions 68 to 1421 of the family's 1533-position model. Lineage: Bacteria; Pseudomonadati; Pseudomonadota; Gammaproteobacteria; Vibrionales; Vibrionaceae. The record is from RNAcentral.